AUGGCAACGACUGCAGCAGCAUCUACCCUCUCAUGGCUUCACAGCUUUGGCGGAACCCAAAAUGAGACAACAAAAGUUACAGACAGAAACAGGGUAUUCGUGGUUUUUAACCAAAAGAAAGUUAAAAAGACUCGAAAGGUAAUAUUGAAGGAGGAUGUGGAAAACCUAGGACAGAAAGGGCAGCUUUUGGAUGUCAAAGCUGGGUAUUUCAGGAAUUAUCUUUUGCCAAUGGGAAAGGCCCAGAUUAUCACUCCUGUUUUGCUCAAGGAAAUGAAAAUGGAGGAGGAAAGAAUUGAAGCAGAGAAGCAACGGGUAAAAGAAGAGGCACAACAACUUGCUCUAAUAUUUGAAACUGUUGGAGCUUUUAAGGUGAAGCGGAAAGGUGGAAAAGGAAAGCUAAUUUUUGGAAGUGUUACUGCUCAAGAUCUUGUAGAUAUUAUCAAGGCACAGAUUCAACGGGAUGUGGACAAAAGAAUAGUUUCUCUUCCAGAGAUUAGGGAAACAGGAGAAUAUAUUGCAGAGUUGAAGCUCCACCCUGAAGUUACUGCCCGAGUGAGACUGAAUGUUUAUGCUAACUGAGGACAAGUCCCUUCUGUGCACCUCCUCUCUGAAUGGGCAACUUGUUAGUCACUUGCAUCAGUCUAUGGGGGGGUUACAUGAUCUGUUGGAGAGUGGCAAUGUGAAAUUUGGUGUAGAACUUGUAUUAGCUAUAUUAACCAUAGCAGAGCGGUUUUAUAUUUGUUUUUCCAGUUUUUCAUUAUUCUCUUGUAGAUAGCAUCGAGUGUUGAAAAUUAUUCAUAAAUAUUGCUUAACUAUAUCUGGAAACAGCUUCUCUCUGUGGCUUUCACGUGUUGUAUAUUGCCAAACUCCUCUAAUCUUUGAUUAAGCUUCGGCAAAUAUCAUAGCAGUGGCCACUUGGGCUUGCUCAAGUGGUAAUGAUGAGGUGAGAUUCGAGCAAUCCUGCAAAAACUGUUGCCUUUACUGAAAGAAUAUCAUAACUUUUGAAAUACCAUGUGAGUUGCCUGAAACUUUCUCAUGUAAAUGCUUCCUAUUUAAAGUUGCAAGCGGGAUCAAAAUCCCACAUUAGCAGAAUUGGAGUUGGAGUUGGAGUUGAAGAGGGCAUUCGAAGAAAGAUUCCAUUUGUUAUCUAAUUAAUCCAAUUCAUCCUAAACAGCCCUGAACUGGUCUUAUUGGACUGUCUCCAAAUAUCAGAAGCAAAACCACAAAAUCAUUUUUCUAAGGUGUUCAGCCCAAGGGGAAAAAAAAAGGAAAAAAGAGAUUAAAUUUAACCAUGUUGCUGCCCAGGAUCGAACUGGGGACCUUCAGUGUGUAAGACUGACGUGAUAACCACUACACCACAGCAACUGUUUAUAUGAUCGAUUGGUUGGUAUUUUUUAUUUAUCUCAUGAUUCCACUUAACUAAAAUGGCCAUCAGGAUAAUGGGCUAAUGGUUUUGCCA
Non-coding RNA from Durio zibethinus, 1459 nucleotides. NCBI's taxonomy places the organism in Eukaryota, Viridiplantae, Streptophyta, Magnoliopsida, Malvales, Malvaceae. The record is from RefSeq and is a predicted model, not a curated record.